This 30-nucleotide non-coding RNA is filed under the name Mus musculus (house mouse). The record is from RNAcentral. Lineage: Eukaryota; Metazoa; Chordata; Mammalia; Rodentia; Muridae.
UAGGAUUCUGCACAGGUCCUCCUGGUUAGA